CCUACGGGAGGCAGCAGUGGGGAAUUUUCCGCAAUGGGCGAAAGCCUGACGGAGCAAUACCGCGUGAGGGAAGAAAGCCUACUGGGUUGUAAACCUCUUUUUUCAGGGAGGAAAAAAAUGACGUGUACCUGAAGAAUAAGCAUCGGCUAACUCCGUGCCAGCAGCCGCGGUAAGACGGAGGAUGCAAGUGUUAUCCGGAAUUACUGGGCGUAAAGCGUCCGUAGGUGGUUUAAUAAGUCAACUGUUAAAUCUUGAGGCUUAACUUCAAAACAGCAGUCGAAACUAUUAGACUAGAGUAUAGUAGGGGUAAAGGGAAUUUCCAGUGGAGCGGUGAAAUGCGUAGAUAUUGGAAAGAACACCGAUGGCGAAAGCACUUUACUGGGCUAUUACUAACACUCAGAGACGAAAGCUAGGGUAGCAAAUGGGAUUAGAUACCCCAGUAGUCCUAGCUGUAAACAAUGGAUACUAGAUGUUGAACAGAUCGACCUGUGCAGUAUUAAGUACUAACGUACGUUAACGUUACUACCGUCCGUACGGUAAGGUAGUGUCUCGCAGAGUAGAACUACAAUAGUAAGUUAGUACGGACGUGAGACGUACGCCGAACGGACGACGACGAGGGAGGUAGG
This 626-nucleotide ribosomal RNA is filed under the name uncultured bacterium. RNAcentral describes it as "bacterial SSU rRNA". The stretch from base 1 to 554 matches the Rfam family "Bacterial small subunit ribosomal RNA", at positions 338 to 873 of the family's 1533-position model. The record is from RNAcentral.